Molecule: ribosomal RNA, 1548 nt
Filed under: Klebsiella pneumoniae
Lineage: Bacteria; Pseudomonadati; Pseudomonadota; Gammaproteobacteria; Enterobacterales; Enterobacteriaceae
Description: bacterial SSU rRNA
Rfam family: Bacterial small subunit ribosomal RNA
Source: RNAcentral
AAAUUGAAGAGUUUGAUCAUGGCUCAGAUUGAACGCUGGCGGCAGGCCUAACACAUGCAAGUCGAGCGGUAGCACAGAGAGCUUGCUCUCGGGUGACGAGCGGCGGACGGGUGAGUAAUGUCUGGGAAACUGCCUGAUGGAGGGGGAUAACUACUGGAAACGGUAGCUAAUACCGCAUAAUGUCGCAAGACCAAAGUGGGGGACCUUCGGGCCUCAUGCCAUCAGAUGUGCCCAGAUGGGAUUAGCUUGUAGGUGGGGUAACGGCUCACCUAGGCGACGAUCCCUAGCUGGUCUGAGAGGAUGACCAGCCACACUGGAACUGAGACACGGUCCAGACUCCUACGGGAGGCAGCAGUGGGGAAUAUUGCACAAUGGGCGCAAGCCUGAUGCAGCCAUGCCGCGUGUGUGAAGAAGGCCUUCGGGUUGUAAAGCACUUUCAGCGGGGAGGAAGGCGGUGAGGUUAAUAACCUCAUCGAUUGACGUUACCCGCAGAAGAAGCACCGGCUAACUCCGUGCCAGCAGCCGCGGUAAUACGGAGGGUGCAAGCGUUAAUCGGAAUUACUGGGCGUAAAGCGCACGCAGGCGGUCUGUCAAGUCGGAUGUGAAAUCCCCGGGCUCAACCUGGGAACUGCAUUCGAAACUGGCAGGCUAGAGUCUUGUAGAGGGGGGUAGAAUUCCAGGUGUAGCGGUGAAAUGCGUAGAGAUCUGGAGGAAUACCGGUGGCGAAGGCGGCCCCCUGGACAAAGACUGACGCUCAGGUGCGAAAGCGUGGGGAGCAAACAGGAUUAGAUACCCUGGUAGUCCACGCCGUAAACGAUGUCGAUUUGGAGGUUGUGCCCUUGAGGCGUGGCUUCCGGAGCUAACGCGUUAAAUCGACCGCCUGGGAGUACGGCCGCAAGGUUAAAACUCAAAUGAAUUGACGGGGCCCGCACAAGCGGUGGAGCAUGUGGUUUAAUUCGAUGCAACGCGAAGAACCUUACCUGGUCUUGACAUCCACAGAACUUAGCAGAGAUGCUUUGGUGCCUUCGGGAACUGUGAGACAGGUGCUGCAUGGCUGUCGUCAGCUCGUGUUGUGAAAUGUUGGGUUAAGUCCCGCAACGAGCGCAACCCUUAUCCUUUGUUGCCAGCGGUCCGGCCGGGAACUCAAAGGAGACUGCCAGUGAUAAACUGGAGGAAGGUGGGGAUGACGUCAAGUCAUCAUGGCCCUUACGACCAGGGCUACACACGUGCUACAAUGGCAUAUACAAAGAGAAGCGACCUCGCGAGAGCAAGCGGACCUCAUAAAGUAUGUCGUAGUCCGGAUUGGAGUCUGCAACUCGACUCCAUGAAGUCGGAAUCGCUAGUAAUCGUAGAUCAGAAUGCUACGGUGAAUACGUUCCCGGGCCUUGUACACACCGCCCGUCACACCAUGGGAGUGGGUUGCAAAAGAAGUAGGUAGCUUAACCUUCGGGAGGGCGCUUACCACUUUGUGAUUCAUGACUGGGGUGAAGUCGUAACAAGGUAACCGUAGGGGAACCUGCGGUUGGAUCACCUCCUUACCUUAAAGAA